This 438-nucleotide ribosomal RNA is filed under the name uncultured Leptolinea sp. RNAcentral describes it as "bacterial SSU rRNA". It matches the Rfam family "Bacterial small subunit ribosomal RNA", at positions 929 to 1382 of the family's 1533-position model. Lineage: Bacteria; Bacillati; Chloroflexota; Anaerolineae; Anaerolineales; Anaerolineaceae. The record is from RNAcentral.
GCAGCGGAGCGUGUGGUUUAAUUCGAUGCUACACGAAGAACCUUACCAGGGUUUGACAUGCAAGUGGUAGGAAACCGAAAGGCGACCGACCUUCGGGGAGCUUGCACAGGUGCUGCAUGGCUGUCGUCAGCUCGUGUCGUGAGAUGUUCGGUUAAGUCCGCUAACGAGCGCAACCCUCGCUGUGUGUUACAAGUGUCACACGGUACUGCCGGUCUUAAGCCGGAGGAAGGUGGGAUGACGUCAAGUCAGCAUGGCCUUUAUGUCCUGGGCUACACACACGCUACAAUGGCCAACACAAUAGGUUGCUAAGCCGCGAGGUGGAGCCAAUCCUCAAAGUUGGUCUCAGUUCAGAUUGCAGGCUGCAACCCGCCUGCAUGAAGACGGAGUUGCUAGUAACCGCAGGUCAGCUAUACUGCGGUGAGUACGUUCCCGGGGCUU